GUCAAGAGGAGGGAGACAGGUGCGACACUGCCACAGUGCCCCCUUCAGGUCUGGAGGAGCGAGUCGACGGUGUUGUCCCGGGGGUCCUUCCAGAGAGUCCCAGGACGCAGCGGCUGGAUGGGAGGUGCUGGAGACGCAACCCUGGAGCCGGCUGACACGCCCGCAGCCUACCAAAGCGGGGCGGAGGGGACAGAAACGCCAGGACGCCACCGGAAAGUGUGUGCGAUGGGCAUUUAUGUCUGUUCGCGAGACCCCAUGGGAAGCCUUUGCGUCCGGAGGCUCAAGCCUAGUGUCGAGGAUAGCAGCGGAUGUUCCGCGGAAGGGCGGGGACGGAGAGGCCCCUUCCAGGUCUCAGGGGUACGCAGUGGGCUGGUGUUUAGGGGAAGGGGAAGAGGUCCCAUAAUUACCUGUGCAGGGGUCAGAAAUUUUAACUUGGCUCUCCAGGCACUGCGGUGACAUGGAAGGGUAUCUGGCUUUAAUCACCUUUAUUUAAGUAUAUUUUACAUACAAUCAAACACACUGGUUUUAAACGUACAGCCUGAUGCAUUUUGACAGGCAUGUGUGUACACCCAGCAGUCACAUACCAGUAUGCCCAAUGCCAAAAAGUUCCCUUAUGCUACUUUAUAUUUAACCCCCGCCUCCCGCCCACCCCUGACCCUGGAUGAUCAGCCAUCUAGAGUUGCUUUCUGCAACUCUAGAGUUCUGUCCACUGCCUUUUAUCGGACUGAAGGAAAAUAGGGCAAAUCCAAAGGUAGGGGAGGCCCCUUAGUGUGCUGGUGCCUAGUUACAGGUAUAGGAAUCUUGGAUCUGAGUUAGGGCACUCACCUGGGGCUGGAGAGGAGCUUACAGAUUAGGGAUGGAACUGGUGAGUCCGGUGGGGUAUGCAGGAGAGAGCGGAGGGAUGCCCAAGCCUGGUAGCAGUUGUGGUGCCACUCAUGGGGGCACAGGGCAAAGAAAAGGGAACAGCCUCGAGGGAAGCUGGGGAAGACCGUGCGGGUGGAGCCCUCUGUCUCUAUGGGAAACUCCAACAGAGGUCAGACAUAGGAGUCAUCAGCGGAUAGGGAGGGCAUCGCGGAGCCUUCCUCCAGGGAGGAGGAGACUAACACAGGCCCUGGGAACAGCCACACGAACAAGGGUGAGAGAGAGGCAGACAGAAGUUAUCAGAGGGAUAAAAGGAGGGCAGGAGGGUCUGUGAUGAGAGGGGAGGAGCAGGUUCCAAGGAGGAACCGUCAGUGAUCUCAGGGGGCAGAGAGAUGGGUACACAAUUACAAAGAACUGAAAGGAGUCGGUAGAUUGUGGUCGUUGGUGACCUGGGCCAGAAGAGCCCCACAGUUGGACUGGGAUCUGGGUAGAACUGACGAAAAGAAGCAGGAGGGGCAGAAAAGCAGAGCCAGUUACUUUAUACUCUUCUUGAUAGAGCUCAGUCAGAAACAGAAGAGAUCAGAACACGGCCUGAAGACAAUGUGAGGAACAUUCCUAUGUCACAUGCCUCUCCGGGGCAAGAGCAAGGCUGACCUCGACCCUGUAUCCUAGAGACCAUGGCUUCACGAGCAGGGAUUAUCGUGGUGAGGGGGUUCCUGCACCCUUCUGCUCAGCCCAGCUCUGGUGCCUGAAGACAGACAGCCCAGGAUGAGCAAGAGGCAGUAUUCACGGGACCUGCAGUGUGCCAGGACUCAAGCAGCCUUGUUCACUCGUACCUUCUUGGGGGACGGGAAGUCUCAGCAACACAUCUGGGCGAGAAACCGAUCAGGGGAGAGGAUGCUGCUGAGAAACGGAGAAGCUCCACGCCCAACGGUGGGGCUUGAACUUGCUACCCUGAGAUCAAGAGCAGCCAGCCAAGCAGAAUGAAAACAUCUCACAAAACAACAGGGUAGAAAAGCCUUCCCCCCAACCCUGGGUGUUGAAAGGCAAUGACUGACUGAGCCCUGGGGUUGGGGAAGACCACCCUCAAUGUUAAAUUCUCUGGGGGAAGCUGGGUCAGGCGGGGUCAGACCUGCCCAGGCCCUCUGCUGGCUGCUCUAGAGGUGGAGGCCAAAGGCGGGUCCUCAAGAUCUCCAGGAUCCUGGCUGGUCAGUAGCAUCUGAAAUUGACUGGAAUGAAAUGCAAACCCAAGUAGCUGGGAAGAAAAGGUCAGAAUUUUAGCCCUGUGUGCUCCCCUUGCUGGCCCGAGUCCCAUCACUGCUCAGGUUCCCCUGCACUGCCCAAGGCCCAGAGAAUGGCCCCAUUGUCCGUGAGACAAACAGAAAUAGCAGCAUCUUCUGUUCUCUGCCUUAGGGAGAUUCACUUGAAACCCCGAAGUCCCAGAUGUGGGGGACAAUGGAGGUUGUUGUUGCAAAUUCGGGAGCCUGGAACAGAUGAGAGGCAGUCCUUCCGUCCCGUCAGUCCACACUCUUGAGCGCCUACUGCUACUCACUGCCGUUUUGUGAGGAAUGAGCCUGGAAAAGGCAGCGUCUGGACUCAGGGCUGGCUCUAAUGAGGGAGGAUCUUCGCAUGGGGCUGCAGGAUGCAGGGCACUGAUAACCGAAGCCUUUACCACAGUGAGGGGGACGAAAGAGACAUCCCCCCGCCCCCGCCCCCCGGGGGCAGAGCUCCAGAGGGACAGACUGAGAAGAUAAGCUCAGGCCCAGGAGAAGUUGUGCCUGUCCUGUUCCCUUCCUGGUGCAGAUCUGGGAGCCGUGUCCCUCAGCUCCCUGCUCUCACUCGGGCACACUCUCCCCCGUUCCCAACCCACCCAGCCUUCCUUCCAAUCCCCGCCAAAGAGGAAAGGGAUGAAGUGUGCAAAGGAUGCAGGGGUUGGGCAGCAGGUGCUGACCUUCAUGACCAGCGUGAUGAUCUCUGGAGGAACUACCACCCACCACAGUUAGUAGGAAGAUUUCUGUGUCCCCAGAGACCUCUCAGGCCCAUGUGUCGACACGGCAUGGCUAAGUUUUAGGCAGCAGGGACUGUGGAUGAGAGGGGAACACACAGAAGAAAGUUCUCCAGGACCAAGGCUGAGCCGUCCCCAUCAGGGCCCGCCAUCCUGUCCCAUCUUGCCUGGCACAUGUGUCUGGUGUGACCAGUUCCUCCGUAUCCCCCUCCCACCCCCCAAGCCCUGCUCACCCAUGUCCUGGCCAAGCCUGGGACCAGACAGCUUAGGGCUUCGAAUCUGCGGGGUCCUUUGUAGCGGGAUUUCCCCAAGG
Long non-coding RNA from Mustela erminea (ermine), 3179 nucleotides. RefSeq lists it as uncharacterized. The record is from RefSeq and is a predicted model, not a curated record. NCBI's taxonomy places the organism in Eukaryota, Metazoa, Chordata, Mammalia, Carnivora, Mustelidae. The transcript is spliced from 8 exons.